RNAcentral lists this ribosomal RNA (433 nucleotides) under uncultured bacterium. Its description in RNAcentral is "partial 16S ribosomal RNA". It matches the Rfam family "Bacterial small subunit ribosomal RNA", at positions 29 to 507 of the family's 1533-position model. The record is from RNAcentral.
AACGAACGCUGGCGGCAUGCCUAACACAUGCAAGUCGAACGAGACCUCCGUGUCUGGUUGCGCUCGGGGGCGGAACGCGGGGGAAGCUGCCCGUAGGUUCCGAAUACUUCCCUUUAAGGGGUGCUAAUGCAGGAUAAUUUACUCUGACAUACGAUAUAUCGCCUUUGGGUGGGCCCGCGUUCGUUUAGCUGGUUGGUAGGGUAAAAGCCGCUCAAGGCGUCGUUCCAUAGCUGGUCUGAGAGGAAGAUCAGCCACACUGGGACUCGGCCACGGGCCAGACUCCUACGGGAGGCAGCAGAGGGGGAUAUUGGACAAUGGGCGGGAGCCUGAUCCAGCACUGCUGGGUAAGUCAUGAAGGCGUUAGGGUUGUGAAGCUGUUUUACCCGGGGUGAUACUGACGGUACCGGGAGAAUAAGCUCCGGCUAACUCCGUG